Molecule: small nuclear RNA, 114 nt
Organism: Carcharodon carcharias (great white shark)
Lineage: Eukaryota; Metazoa; Chordata; Chondrichthyes; Lamniformes; Lamnidae
Product: U5 spliceosomal RNA
Exons: 1
Source: RefSeq, a predicted model, not a curated record
CCAUUUUAACCUCUUCAGAUUGUAUAAAUCUUUUGCUUUUUAAUAAAGAUUUCUGUGGAGAGGAACUGUUUAGAGUUUUUGAACAAUUUUUGCACCAACCAGUUAAAGGCAUGA